RNAcentral lists this ribosomal RNA (394 nucleotides) under uncultured bacterium. Its description in RNAcentral is "bacterial SSU rRNA". It matches the Rfam family "Bacterial small subunit ribosomal RNA", at positions 28 to 414 of the family's 1533-position model. The record is from RNAcentral.
AACGAACGUUGGCGGCGUGGAUUAGGCAUGCAAGUCGCGCGAAUCUCGCGGGGGCAACUCUGCGGGGGAAGCGGCGAAAGGGGCAGUAAGGCGUGGGUAACCUACCCCGGAGUUCGGAAUAGCCCUUCUAACGAAGGGGUAAUACCGAAUGCCAUACCCAGGGGGGCAUCCCCCAGGUAUGAAAGUUACAGGCGCUCCGGGAGGGGCCCGACGUGGUAUUAGCUAGUUGGUGGGGUGACGGCCCACCAAGGCCAAGAUGCCUAGCAGGUGGUGAGAGCACGACCUGCGCCACUGGCACUGGGGACACUGGCCAGACUCCUACGGGAGGCUGCAGUCGAGGAUCUUCGGCAAUGGGCGCAAGCCUGACCGAGCGACGCCGCGUGUGCGAUGAAGG